Mycena maculata is the source of this 105-nucleotide non-coding RNA. The record is from the annotation of a GenBank genome assembly. NCBI's taxonomy places the organism in Eukaryota, Fungi, Basidiomycota, Agaricomycetes, Agaricales, Mycenaceae.
GGCACUGUGGCGGAGUGGUUAACGCGACAGAUUAGAAUUUGCGUACCCCAACAUUCAAUGAUCUGUUCCUCUUGUAGGGCGCAUGUUCGAAUCAUGCCAGUGUCG